UACAGAGGUCUCGAGCGUUGUUCGGAUUCAUUGGGCGUAAAGCGCACGUAGGCGGUCUGCUAAGUCGGUUGUGAAAGCCCCCGGCUCAACCGGGGAAUUGCGUUCGAUACUGGCAGGCUUGAAUCCGGGAGAGGGAUGUGGAAUUCCAGGUGUAGCGGUGAAAUGCGUAGAUAUGUGGAGGAACACCGAUGGCGAAGGCAGCCUUCUGGGCCAACACUGACGCUCAUGCACGAAAGCGUGGGGAGCAAACAGG
RNAcentral lists this ribosomal RNA (253 nucleotides) under uncultured bacterium. Its description in RNAcentral is "partial 16S ribosomal RNA". It matches the Rfam family "Bacterial small subunit ribosomal RNA", at positions 524 to 776 of the family's 1533-position model. The record is from RNAcentral.